UGCAGUCGUACGAGAGUUUUUAACUCUAGUGGCGGACGGGUGAGUAACACGCUGUAGAAUUUACCUUUAGGAGGGGGACAACAAUUGGAAGCGACUGCUAAUACCCCAUAUGCUUUUGAGUGAAAUGGAUUUAUAUUUAUCCGCCUAGAGAGAAGCUCGCGGCUGAUUAGCUUGUUGGUAAGGUAAGAGCUUACCAAGGCGACGAUCAGUAUCUGGUUUGAGAGGACGAUCAGACACACUGGAACUGAGACACGGUCCAGACUCCUACGGGAGGCAGCAGUGGGGAAUUUUCCGCAAUGGGCGAAAGCCUGACGGAGCAAUACCGCGUGAGGGAAGACUGCCUAUGGGUUGUAAACCUCUUUUUUCAGGGAGGAAUAAAAUGACGUGUACCUGAAGAAUAAGCAUCGGCUAACUCCGUGCCAGCAGCCGCGGUAAGACGGAGGAUGCAAGUGUUAUCCGGAAUCACUGGGUGUAAAGCGUCUGUAGGUGGUUUGAUAAGUCAACUGUUAAAUCUUGAGGUUCAACUUCAAAAUCGCAGUCGAAACUAUUAGACUAGAGUAUAGUAGAGGUAAAGGGAAUUUCCAGUGGAGCGGUGAAAUGCGUAGAUAUUGGAAAGAACACCGAUGGCGAAAGCACUUUACUGGGCUAUUACUAACACUCAGAGACGAAAGCUAGGGUAGCAAAUGGGAUUAGAUACCCCAGUAGUCCUAGCCGUAAACUAUGGAUACUAGAUGUUGAACAGAUCGACCUGUGCAGUAUCAAAGCUAACGCGUU
RNAcentral lists this ribosomal RNA (774 nucleotides) under uncultured cyanobacterium. Its description in RNAcentral is "bacterial SSU rRNA". It matches the Rfam family "Bacterial small subunit ribosomal RNA", at positions 56 to 861 of the family's 1533-position model. The record is from RNAcentral. Lineage: Bacteria; Bacillati; Cyanobacteriota.